GACGAACGCUGGCGGCGUGCUUAACACAUGCAAGUCGAACGGAAAGGCCCUGCUUUUGUGGGGUGCUCGAGUGGCGAACGGGUGAGUAACACGUGAGUAACCUGCCCUUGACUUUGGGAUAACUUCAGGAAACUGGGGCUAAUACCGGAUAGGAGCUCCUGCUGCAUGGUGGGGGUUGGAAAGUUUCGGCGGUUGGGGAUGGACUCGCGGCUUAUCAGCUUGUUGGUGGGGUAGUGGCUUACCAAGGCUUUGACGGGUAGCCGGCCUGAGAGGGUGACCGGAAGAGUGGGGGGUGAGGUAGGGCCAGGCGGAGUACGGGGGACGGCGGGCGGGAGUGGGACGAAAUGGGGGGAGGCGGAAUCCGGCAGUGCGGGGGGGGGAAGAAGGACUUAGGGUUGGAAAACGGGUUCCGCAGGGAACAAGGGGUGAGUGACGGUAAUGGGAAAAGAAGCACCGGCUAACUACGUG
This 468-nucleotide ribosomal RNA is filed under the name uncultured bacterium. Its description in RNAcentral is "partial 16S ribosomal RNA". It matches the Rfam family "Bacterial small subunit ribosomal RNA", at positions 28 to 507 of the family's 1533-position model. The record is from RNAcentral.